RNAcentral lists this ribosomal RNA (1033 nucleotides) under Leptotrombidium imphalum. Its description in RNAcentral is "large subunit rRNA". The stretch from base 644 to 941 matches the Rfam family "Archaeal large subunit ribosomal RNA", at positions 2147 to 2719 of the family's 2987-position model. The record is from RNAcentral. Lineage: Eukaryota; Metazoa; Arthropoda; Arachnida; Trombidiformes; Trombiculidae.
AAAUCUAACUUUUUAAAGAAGCUGCCUCUUCCUUUUUAGAAUUUAUUGAUUUAAAAAUAAUUAAUUCCUUUUGCAUAAGGAGAGAAAAACUGGAGUAAAUACUAAAGUUCCGAAAGCUUUUGGGCAAGAACAAGUUAAAUUGAAAAUGGCAUCUUUCUUUGUUCUAGUAGAAAUAAUCUUUCCGAAGAAGCCAAUAUCUGAUGAACCCCCGAAUUUAAAAAGGAAAGCCUUUUAAAGAAAAGUUUAAUAGAGAUAAAUUAUAAAAAACUGCUAAAAGUCUUUAAACCUUUUCAUAAAAAUACCUCAACUCUCACCAAACAAACUUGGACCUCAGAUGAUAAUAAACAAAAAUUUUCUUACUAGUAUAAUAAAUCUUCACUUUCCAAAUUAAAUUAAAACUUAUUUAAAAUUACCUCUAAAGAACUAAAAGAAAGUCCUUUUGAAUGUUUAACAAAAGCUUUUCUAUUUAAUUAAAUAGAAGUCCCUGCCAAUUGUAGAAUACAAAAGGCCGAAGGAUAUUUACUUCGCGAAGGUAGCGUAAUAAUUUGGCUAUUUAUUGUAGUCCAGAAUGAGUGGGUAAACAAAAGGGCUCUUUUCGAUGGGUAAAAAUAGAACCUAACCUUUCCUUGAAAAUCAGGAAAGACAUUUUUUAGACGAAAAGACCUUAGGAUCUUAUACCUUAUAGGGUUUUAUUGGGGCAAUACUCCUAAUAGAAAGAAUAUUAUUUAGAAGACUGUUCUCACAAACAAAAAGAUACCCUAGGGAUAACAGGGCAAUUUUCUAUGAGAGACCAAAUCAAAUAGGAAGAUUACUACCUCGAUGUUGGCUUUCCUAUUUCUUUUAGGAGAAGAAAAUUAGAAGAAAAAGUCUGUUCGACUUUAAAAAGGAACAUGAGCUGAGUUCAAGUCGGCGAAAGCCAGACUGGGUUUUAUCUAAAAAUGAUAAAAGAGAGAAUCCAGUACGAAAGGACAAGUUCUCCUCUCUAAGAGAAAAGACAAAUCUUGAAUUAAAGUUUAUUAAAAAUGAGUCAUGA